RNAcentral lists this ribosomal RNA (400 nucleotides) under uncultured bacterium. Its description in RNAcentral is "bacterial SSU rRNA". It matches the Rfam family "Bacterial small subunit ribosomal RNA", at positions 355 to 747 of the family's 1533-position model. The record is from RNAcentral.
UCGAGAAUAAUUCACAAUGGGGGCAACCCUGAUGGUGCAACGCCGCGUGGAGGAUGACGGUCUUCGGAUUGUAAACUCCUGUCAUCUGGGAGAAAGACCUGGGAGUUAAUAGCUCACAGGGUUGAUAGUACCAGAAGAGGAAGGGACGGCUAACUUCGUGCCAGCAGCCGCGGUAAUACGAAGGUCCCGAGCGUUGUUCGGAAUCACUGGGCGUAAAGGGAGCGUAGGCGGCGCGGUAAGUCGGAUGUGAAAUCCCGGGGCUCAACCCCGGAACUGCAUCUGAUACUGCCGUGCUAGAGUAAUGGAGAGGUAGCUGGAAUUAUCGGUGUAGCAGUGAAAUGCGUAGAUAUCGAUAGGAACACUCGUGGCGAAAGCGAGCUACUGGACAUUUACUGACGCU